RNAcentral lists this ribosomal RNA (484 nucleotides) under uncultured bacterium. RNAcentral's name for it is "partial 16S ribosomal RNA". It matches the Rfam family "Bacterial small subunit ribosomal RNA", at positions 30 to 507 of the family's 1533-position model. The record is from RNAcentral.
AUUGAACGCUGGCGGCAGGCCUAACACAUGCAAGUCGAGCGGAUGAAGGGAGCUUGCUCCUGGAUUCAGCGGCGGACGGGUGAGUAAUGCCUAUGAAUCUGCCUGGUAGUGGGGGAUAACGUCCGGAAACGGGCGCUAAUACCGCAUACGUCCUGAGGGAGAAAGUGGGGGAUCUUCGGACCUCACGCUAUCAGAUGAGCCUAGGUCGGAUUAGCUAGUUGGUGGGGUAAAGGCCUACCAAGGCGACGAUCCGUAACUGGUCUGAGAGGAUGAUCAGUCACACUGGAACUGAGACACGGUCCAGACUCCUACGGGAGGCAGCAGUGGGGAAUAUUGGAAAGUGGGCGAAAGCCUGAUCCAGCCAUGCCGCGUGUGUGAAGAAGGUCUUCGGAUUGUAAAGCACUUUAAGUUGGGAGGAAGGGCAGUAAGUUAAUACCUUGCUGUUUUGACGUUACCAACAGAAUAAGCACCGGCUAACUUCGUG